Molecule: ribosomal RNA, 501 nt
Filed under: uncultured Sphingobacteriaceae bacterium
Lineage: Bacteria; Pseudomonadati; Bacteroidota; Sphingobacteriia; Sphingobacteriales; Sphingobacteriaceae
Description: partial 16S ribosomal RNA
Source: RNAcentral
CACGGAGUUAGCCGAUCCUUAUUCCUCCGGUACAUUCAACCCUUUACUCGUAAAGGGGUUUAUUCCCGGGUAAAAGCAGUUUACAACCCGUAGGGCCGUCCUCCUGCACGCGGCAUGGCUGGUUCAGAGUUGCCUCCAUUGACCAAUAUUCCUUACUGCUGCCUCCCGUAGGAGUCUGGUCCGUGUCUCAGUACCAGUGUGGGGGAUUCUCCUCUCAGAGCCCCUAGACAUCGUCGCCUUGGUAAGCCGUUACCUUACCAACUAGCUAAUGUCACGCGAGCCCAUCCAUAUCCUAUAAAUAUUUAACAGUAUGACCAUGUGACCAAACUGUGUUAUGCGGUGUUAAUCCGGAUUUCUCCGGGCUAUCCCCCUGAUAUGGGUAGGUUGCUCACGCGUUACGCACCCGUGCGCCACUCUCAUGGGAAGCAAGCUCCCCAAUCCCGUUCGACUUGCAUGUAUUAGGCCUGCCGCUAGCGUUCAUCCUGAGCCAGGAUCAAACUC